AAUCUGGUUGGGUGGUCUGCCUUCUUGGUAUGUACUGCUCGGCCGGAUUCUACCUCUUGGUGAGCCGGCAUGCUCUUUACUGGGUGUGUCGGGGAACCAGGACUUUUACCUUGAGAAAAUUAGAGUGUUCAAAGCAGGCCUUUGCCCGAAUACAUUAGCAUGGCAUAAUAAAAUAGGACG
RNAcentral lists this ribosomal RNA (180 nucleotides) under uncultured Glomeromycotina. RNAcentral describes it as "partial small subunit ribosomal RNA". Lineage: Eukaryota; Fungi; Glomeromycota. The record is from RNAcentral.